AGUGAACGCUGGCGGUAGGCCUAACACAUGCAAGUCGAACGGCAGCACAGUAAGAGCUUGCUCUUACGGGUGGCGAGUGGCGGACGGGUGAGGAAUACAUCGGAAUCUACUUUUUCGUGGGGGAUAACGUAGGGAAACUUACGCUAAUACCGCAUACGACCUACGUGUGAAAGCAGGGGAUCUUCGGACCUUGCGCGAUUGAAUGAGCCGAUGUCGGAUUAGCUAGUUGGCGGGGUAAAGGCCCACCAAGGCGACGAUCCGUAGCUGGUCUGAGAGGAUGAUCAGCCACACUGGAACAGAGAAACGGCCCAGACUCCGACGGUAGGAAGCAGUGGGGAAUAUUGGACGAUGGGCGAAAGCCUGAUACAGCAAUAUCGCGUGGGUCAUGAAGGACUUCUGGUUGGAAAGUCCAUUUGUUGGGAAAGAAAAGCAGCAGGUUAAUCCCCCGCUGUUAUGACGGUACCCAAAGAAGAAGCACCGGCUAACUUCGUG
RNAcentral lists this ribosomal RNA (492 nucleotides) under uncultured bacterium. RNAcentral describes it as "partial 16S ribosomal RNA". It matches the Rfam family "Bacterial small subunit ribosomal RNA", at positions 29 to 507 of the family's 1533-position model. The record is from RNAcentral.